AUUGAACGCUGGCGGCAGGCCUAACACAUGCAAGUCGAACGGUAGCACAGAGAGCUUGCUCUCGGGUGACGAGUGGCGGACGGGUGAGUAAUGUCUGGGAAACUGCCUGAUGGAGGGGGAUAACUACUGGAAACGGUAGCUAAUACCGCAUAACGUCGCAAGACCAAAGAGGGGGACCUUCGGGCCUCUUGCCAUCAGAUGUGCCCAGAUGGGAUUAGCUAGUAGGUGGGGUAACGGCUCACCUAGGCGACGAUCCCUAGCUGGUCUGAGAGGAUGACCAGCCACACUGGAACUGAGACACGGUCCAGACUCCUACGGGAGGCAGCAGUGGGGAAUAUUGCACAAUGGGCGCAAGCCUGAUGCAGCCAUGCCGCGUGUAUGAAGAAGGCCUUCGGGUUGUAAAGUACUUUCAGCGGGGAGGAAGGUGUUGCGGUUAAUAACCGCAGCAAUUGACGUUACCCGCAGAAGAAGCACCGGCUAACUCCGUGCCAGCAGCCGCGGUAAUACGGAGGGUGCAAGCGUUAAUCGGAAUUACUGGGCGUAAAGCGCACGCAGGCGGUCUGUCAAGUCGGAUGUGAAAUCCCCGGGCUCAACCUGGGAACUGCAUUCGAAACUGGCAGGCUAGAGUCUUGUAGAGGGGGGUAGAAUUCCAGGUGUAGCGGUGAAAUGCGUAGAGAUCUGGAGGAAUACCGGUGGCGAAGGCGGCCCCCUGGACAAAGACUGACGCUCAGGUGCGAAAGCGUGGGGAGCAAACAGGAUUAGAUACCCUGGUANUCCACGCCGUAAACGAUGUCGACUUGGAGGUUGUGCCCUUGAGGCGUGGCUUCCGGAGCUAACGCGUUAAGUCGACCGCCUGGGGAGUACGGCCGCAAGGUUAAAACUCAAAUGAAUUGACGGGGGCCCGCACAAGCGGUGGAGCAUGUGGUUUAAUUCAAUGCAACGCGAACAACCUUACCUACUCUUGACAUCCAGAGAACUUUCCAGAGAUGGAUUGGUGCCUUCGGGAACUCUGAGACAGGUGCUGCAUGGCUGUCGUCAGCUCGUGUUGUGAAAUGUUGGGUUAAGUCCCGCAACGAGCGCAACCCUUAUCCUUUGUUGCC
This 1100-nucleotide ribosomal RNA is filed under the name Enterobacter sp. M429. RNAcentral describes it as "bacterial SSU rRNA". It matches the Rfam family "Bacterial small subunit ribosomal RNA", at positions 28 to 1119 of the family's 1533-position model. The record is from RNAcentral. Lineage: Bacteria; Pseudomonadati; Pseudomonadota; Gammaproteobacteria; Enterobacterales; Enterobacteriaceae.